GAUGAACGCUCGCGAUAGGCUUAACACAUGCAAGUCGAGGGGCAGCACAAGGUAGCUUGCUCUCUGGGUGGCGACCGGCGCACGGGUGCGUAACGCGUAUGCAACUUGCCCUAUACAGGAGGAUAACCCGUCGAAAGACGGACUAAUACUGCGUAUGCUCACAACUUGGCAUCAAGUGGUGAGGAAAGAAAUUCGGUAUAGGAUAGGCAUGCGUCCCAUUAGCUUGUUGGUGAGGUAACGGCUCACCAAGGCAACGAUGGGUAGGGGAACUGAGAGGUUUAUCCCCCACACUGGUACUGAGACACGGACCAGACUCCUACGGGAGGCAGCAGUGAGGAAUAUUGGUCAAUGGGCGCGAGCCUGAACCAGCCAAGUCGCGUGAAGGAGGACUGUCUUAUGGAUUGUAAACUUCUUUUAGACGGGAAUAACAAGAGUCACGUGUGACUCCCUGCAUGUACCGUAUGAAUAAGCAUCGGCUAACUCCGUG
RNAcentral lists this ribosomal RNA (487 nucleotides) under uncultured bacterium. RNAcentral's name for it is "partial 16S ribosomal RNA". It matches the Rfam family "Bacterial small subunit ribosomal RNA", at positions 28 to 507 of the family's 1533-position model. The record is from RNAcentral.